RNAcentral lists this ribosomal RNA (789 nucleotides) under Salmonella enterica subsp. enterica serovar 4,12:d:-. RNAcentral's name for it is "partial 23S ribosomal RNA". It matches the Rfam family "Bacterial large subunit ribosomal RNA", at positions 1 to 722 of the family's 2925-position model. Lineage: Bacteria; Pseudomonadati; Pseudomonadota; Gammaproteobacteria; Enterobacterales; Enterobacteriaceae. The record is from RNAcentral.
GGGUUGUGAGGUUAAGCGACUAAGCGUACACGGUGGAUGCCCUGGCAGUCAGAGGCGAUGAAGGGCGUGCUAAUCUGCGAUAAGCGCCGGUAAGGUGAUAUGAACCGUUAUAACCGGCGAUACCCGAAUGGGGAAACCCAGUGUGAUUCGUCACACUAUCAUUAACUGAAUCCAUAGGUUAAUGAGGCGAACCGGGGGAACUGAAACAUCUAAGUACCCCGAGGAAAAGAAAUCAACCGAGAUUCCCCCAGUAGCGGCGAGCGAACGGGGAGGAGCCCAGAGCCUGAAUCAGCAUGUGUGUUAGUGGAAGCGUCUGGAAAGGCGCGCGAUACAGGGUGACAGCCCCGUACACAAAAGCGCAUGUGCUGUGAGCUCGAUGAGUAGGGCGGGACACGUGGUAUCCUGUCUGAAUAUGGGGGGACCAUCCUCCAAGGCUAAAUACUCCUGACUGACCGAUAGUGAACCAGUACCGUGAGGGAAAGGCGAAAAGAACCCCGGCGAGGGGAGUGAAAAAGAACCUGAAACCGUGUACGUACAAGCAGUGGGAGCCCCACCACUAAGCCAGUGGUGAACUCCACAUACGCAUCCUUUGCUGAGGAUACGGUUAACGGAGCGAAAGCGACGUUCAACCGCAAAAGAAGCAGAGGGGGCUUAGUGGUGGGGUGACUGCGUACCUUUUGUAUAAUGGGUCAGCGACUUAUAUUCUGUAGCAAGGUUAACCGUAUAGGGGAGCCGCAGGGAAACCGAGUCUUAACCGGGCGUUAAGUUGCAGGGUAUAGACCCGAAACC